Molecule: long non-coding RNA, 1310 nt
Organism: Mirounga angustirostris (Northern elephant seal)
Lineage: Eukaryota; Metazoa; Chordata; Mammalia; Carnivora; Phocidae
Exons: 3
Source: RefSeq, a predicted model, not a curated record
GGGGAGAGGAGGGAGGUGGGAAUGAAAAGGGGGCUAGUCACUCAGCGCUGCCUCACGUACGUGGAUGUGAGCCACUCGGAUGGGCGCAUGCAUGCUGAGAGUCCACUGCACCAGCAAUCCUGUGCUCCUGCUUGGGGUUCUUGUGAAUAAGUGAAGCUGCAGGUUUUCCUAGGGGUAGCUCUGUCCUGAGGAACACACAUUCUCCUGUCUCGGCCCUACUGAGAAAAAAAGAGUGCCUAUGAAUACAAUCACCUACGAAUGCCAGCCAGACCACACCUCCCUGGACUGCUGAGAUUUAUUAGAAGGACAGCUCCCUGCGGUGCCAGCAAAUCUUGAAUCUCUGGCGAAUAGACAAUGUGCAGGCUGAGGAAUAGCACCAUCAUGAAUUCACACAUUCACAUAGGCUCCACACCCAGCUUAGAGCCCAACGUGGAGUCCAAACUCAUGACCCUGAGAUCAAGACCCGAGCUGAGAUCAAGAGUUGGAUGUUGGAUGUUCAACCAGCUGAGCCACUCAGGCACCCCUCCUCCAUGUCCUUUUAUGAUGCAUAAUACUCCAUUGUCUGGAUGUACCACAGUUUACUUAUCCAUUUGCCUACUGAAAGACAUCUUGGUUGCUUCCAAGUUUUGGCAAUUAUGAAUAAAGCCUCUAUAAACAUCAUGUGCAGAUUUUUGUGUGGACCUAGGUUUUCAACUCAUUUGGGUAAAUACCAAGGAGUGUGAUUGCUGGGUCAUAUGUAAGAGUAUGUUUAAUUUUUUUAAGAAACUGCCAGACUUUCUUCCAAAGUGGCCGGACCAUUUUGCAUUCCCACCAGCAAUGAAUGAGAGUUCCUGUUGCUCCACAGUCACCACAUUUGGUAUUGUCAGUGACUUGGUUUUGGACCAUUCUCAUAGGUAUGGAGUGGUCUAUUUGUGGACACUUUUUUUCUCUUUCAGAUAAAUACCUAGAAUUAAAAUGCUUGAUCAUAUGGCGGAUGUAUUUUAAAAAUUUUAAGAGACUGCCAAAAUGUUUUCCAAAAUUGUUUUAUCAUUUCUAUCCCCACCAGAAGUGUAUGAGAGUUCCAGUCACUCCACACUCUUGCUAACAUUUGUUAUGGCCAGCCUUUCUAACUUCAGCUUUUCUAAUAGGCAUGGAGUAGUACUUCACUGUGGUUUUAAAAUGCAUUUUCCUAGUGCUCAUGAGGUCAAGCAUCUUGCCAUGUUACUUGCCAUCCAUAUAUUACAUUUAGUGAAGUAUCUGUUCAAAUUUGGUGAAAUGCUGCCCUGCUGGGAUUUUGAAUGGAAUUGUGUUGAAUCUAUACAUCAACUUGG